UACGUAGGGGGCAAGCGUUGUCCGGAAUCAUUGGGCGUAAAGCGCGCGUAGGCGGCCCGGUAAGUCCGCUCUGAAAGUCCAGGGCUUAACCCUGGAAAGCGGGUGGAUACUGCCGGGCUUGAAUCCGGAAGAGGCGAGUGGAAUUCCUGGUGUAGCGGUGGAAUGCGUAGAGAUGCGGAGGAACACCGAUGGCGAAGGCAGCCCCCUGGGCCAACACUGACGCUCAGGCACGAAAGCGUGGGGAGCAAACAGG
This 253-nucleotide ribosomal RNA is filed under the name uncultured bacterium. RNAcentral's name for it is "partial 16S ribosomal RNA". It matches the Rfam family "Bacterial small subunit ribosomal RNA", at positions 524 to 776 of the family's 1533-position model. The record is from RNAcentral.